ACGAUAUAGUGGCAGACGGGUGAGUAACGCGUGGGAACAUGCCCUUCACUAAGGAAUAGCUUUUGGAAACGAAAGGUAAUACCUUAUACGCCCUUAGGGGGAAAGAUUUAUCGGUGAAAGAUUGGCCCGCGUUAGAUUAGCUAGUUGGUAAGGUAAGAGCUUACCAAGGCUACGAUCUAUAGCUGGUCUGAGAGGACGACCAGCCACACUGGGACUGAGACACGGCCCAGACUCCUACGGGAGGCAGCAGUGGGGAAUAUUGCACAAUGGGCGAAAGCCUGAUGCAGCCAUGCCGCGUGAAUGAUGAAGGCCUUAGGGUUGUAAAAUUCUUUCGCUAGGGAUGAUAAUGACAGUACCUAGUAAAGAAGCCCCGGCUAACUUCGUGCCAGCAGCCGCGGUAAUACGAAGGGGGCUAGCGUUGUUCGGAAUUACUGGGCGUAAAGCGCACGUAGGCGGAUUAUUAAGUCAGAUGUGAAAUCCCAAGGCUCAACCUUGGAACUGCAUUUGAAACUGGUAAUCUAGAGAUCAGGAGAGGUUAGUGGAAUACCGAGUGUAGAGGUGAAAUUCGUAGAUAUUCGGUGGAACACCAGUGGCGAAGGCGACUAACUGGACUGAUACUGACGCUGAGGUGCGAAAGUGUGGGGAGCAAACAGGAUUAGAUACCCUGGUAGUCCACACCGUAAACGAUGAGAGCUAGUUGUCUGCAGGCAUGCCUGUAGGUGACGCAGCUAACGCAUUAAGCUCUCCGCCUGGGGAGUACGGCCGCAAGGUUAAAACUCAAAGAAAUUGACGGGGGCCCGCACAAGCGGUGGAGCAUGUGGUUUA
This 825-nucleotide ribosomal RNA is filed under the name uncultured Alphaproteobacteria bacterium. Its description in RNAcentral is "bacterial SSU rRNA". It matches the Rfam family "Bacterial small subunit ribosomal RNA", at positions 87 to 948 of the family's 1533-position model. The record is from RNAcentral. Lineage: Bacteria; Pseudomonadati; Pseudomonadota; Alphaproteobacteria.